AGAUUGAACGCUGGCGGCAUGCCUAACACAUGCAAGUCGAGCGGCAGCGCGGGGGCGACCCUGGCGGCGAGCGGCGGACGGGUGAGUAAGGCAUCGGAAUCUGCCCUGAUGUGGGGGAUAACGUAGGGAAACUUGUGCUAAUACCGCAUAAGCUCUGAGGAGGAAAGCGGGGGACCGAAAGGCCUCGCGCAGCAGGAUGAGCCGAUGUCCGAUUAGCUAGUUGGUGGGGUAACGGCCUACCAAGGCGACGAUCGGUAGCUGGUCUGAGAGGAUGAUCAGCCACACUGGGACUGAGACACGGCCCAGACUCCUACGGGAGGCAGC
Molecule: ribosomal RNA, 324 nt
Filed under: uncultured prokaryote
Description: bacterial SSU rRNA
Rfam family: Bacterial small subunit ribosomal RNA
Source: RNAcentral